Molecule: transfer RNA, 72 nt
Filed under: Cordylochernes scorpioides
Lineage: Eukaryota; Metazoa; Arthropoda; Arachnida; Pseudoscorpiones; Chernetidae
Description: tRNA-Gln
Source: RNAcentral
AGGUUUCACCGAGAUUUGAACUCGGAUCGCUGGAUUCAGAUUCCAGAGUACUAAACAUUACAUUAUGGAACC